This 89-nucleotide transfer RNA is filed under the name Candidatus Saccharimonadota bacterium. RNAcentral's name for it is "tRNA-Leu". It matches the Rfam family "tRNA". From Rfam's summary of the family: Transfer RNA (tRNA) molecules are approximately 80 nucleotides in length. Their secondary structure includes four short double-helical elements and three loops (D, anti-codon, and T loops). Further hydrogen bonds mediate the characteristic L-shaped molecular structure. tRNAs have two regions of fundamental functional importance: the anti-codon, which is responsible for specific mRNA codon recognition, and the 3' end, to which the tRNAs corresponding amino acid is attached (by aminoacyl-tRNA synthetases). tRNAs cope with the degeneracy of the genetic code in two manners: having more than one tRNA (with a specific anti-codon) for a particular amino acid; and 'wobble' base-pairing, i.e. permitting non-standard base-pairing at the 3rd anti-codon position. Lineage: Bacteria; Candidatus Saccharimonadota. RNAcentral also lists the same sequence under 1 other name. The record is from RNAcentral.
GCACCGGUGGCGGAAUUGGUAGACGCGCUAGCUUGAGGGGCUAGUGACCGUUUUAGGUCGUGGAAGUUCGAGUCUUCUUCGGUGCACCA